RNAcentral lists this long non-coding RNA (1308 nucleotides) under Canis lupus familiaris (dog). RNAcentral describes it as "lncRNA (ENSCAFG00000034748.3, ENSCAFG00030005906.1)". The record is from RNAcentral. Lineage: Eukaryota; Metazoa; Chordata; Mammalia; Carnivora; Canidae.
GCCCCCGCCCAGGCUGUCUCCGCGGCGCCUUCUCCUCCGGGAGGACUGGCCGGCUGGGGAGGGAGUCCGGCUGCGGGGGAGGAAGGGGGGGCGAGAAAGUUCUGCCCCAGGGGCUGGAGGGAGCGCGAGUCUCCACCGCCGGCGCAGCGCCUCUCCGUGGGGGCUCCACCGCCGGGGCGGCGGACGAGUGCUGCCCGCUCGUCGCCCCCACCUCCUACUGCGGCUGUGUCGUCGGGAGGGGAGCUCGGGCGCCUUCUUCCUGGUGCCGCGGACCCGGGCUGCGAGCUCCGGGCCCGAGGGGAGGGGGCGAGGGUGCCGGGUGCUGGCCGCCGUGGGCUCUUGGCCCCCUCCCCGGAGUGGCUGGUGCCUGGAAGCUCGAAAGGGGUGGUCUCUUCCUCUCCCUGGGGGCCCCCCUACGAGCUGCGUCCUCUCCCCGCCAGGCUCACUGGGGCGAAGGCUAGAGGGCUCAGUGCCACCCGGUGCCCGGGUCCAAUCUUGCUGAAGUCGCCGGGGGAGGGAGGGGGUGGCCGCCGAGAGGAGCUUCUCCCCUCCGCAGCGUCGGCCGUUCCGCUGGCGGCGGCUGGGUUUGCACGGCCGGAGGGAGCCGCCGCGGCCACCGCUUCCAGGACGCACGAGAGCAGAGGAGAGGAGCGCACGCACGCAGGCUCCCGCCGCCCCCAGGCCCGGCCGGCGCCCCGGCCGCCGCGGCUGGCGGCGCUCACGUUGGCUGCAGGGCGCUCGCGCGGCGCCUCGGCCCGGGUCGCAUCCCUUCCCGCUCGCACUCGCCCGGAAUGUGGGGUUGUGAUUGUUACUCUACGUUCCGGAGGCGCGUCUCGGCGCUCCCGCUCGCGCUGCGGCUCGCGCUGUCCCCGGCUUGGCCGCGCGGGAUGCCGCCCGGGCGGAGCGCUGACGUCACCGCCAUGCUCUGCACCACUUCUCCCCCCUCCCUCCCCUUUACACUUCCUCUGUCUGUGGAGCCACUUGUUGCUCGGGGAGGGCGCAUGCGCGGCAGGGCGCCCAGAUUCCUCCCCGGCGGCCCCGCCUCCGCGCCUCCGCCUUCCCCUCCCCCCUCCCCGUGUGUGUACAACAGCUGAGGCCCGGCGAGCUAAUGCUGGAAGUCCUGGGCUGGGGGUGGAAAUUAAACAGACGAUGACCUUUCCUUUCCCCGCCCGGCUUUCCCAAGUAAAAACGCAUUUGAAAACCACAAGCGUCAUUUCCGAUCCCGCUCCCCACCCCACCCCGGGCAGUGCAUUUAAAUGUCCAGUUUCAGGAUUUUCGUCGCGAAUCUCAUUCUCGUUUUAUCUGUAA